Molecule: ribosomal RNA, 1205 nt
Filed under: human metagenome
Description: bacterial LSU rRNA
Rfam family: Bacterial large subunit ribosomal RNA
Source: RNAcentral
GUUGGCUUGGAAGCAGCCAUUCAUUUAAAGAGUGCGUAACAGCUCACUAGUCGAGUGCUUUGGCGUGGAUAAUAAUCGGGCAUAAGCUAUUUACCGAAGCUGUGGGAUGUAUAAUACAUCGGUAGGGGAGCAUUCUAGCGGCGGUGAAGGUAGGAGGACAACUUCUGCUGGAGCUUCUAGAAAAGCAAAUGUAGGUAUAAGUAACGAUAAAGGAGGUGAGAAACCUCCUCGCCGAAAGACUAAGGUUUCCUGAUCAACGCUAAUCGGAUCAGGGUUAGUCGGGGCCUAAGGGGGAGCCGAACGGCGUACCCGAUGGAAGAACCGGUUAAUAUUCCGGUACUAAUUAUGUGAGCGAUGUGGAGACGGAGAUGUGAUGGUCCUGCCAGCUGACGGAAUAGCUGGUUGAAGGGUGUAGGCGUUGAUCGGGGUAGGCAAAUCCGCCCUGAGAGCUGAACCUGACAGUACACUGAGUGCUUGCACGAGGUGAUAUGGACAAAGUAACGGCGCUUCCUAGAAAAUCCGCUAAGCAUAUUGCAUGAUUACCCGUACCAUAAACCGACACAGGUGGUUGGGUUGAGUAUACUAAGGCGCUCGAGUGAUUCGCGGUUAAGGAACUAGGCAAAAUAGUCCUGUAACUUCGGGAAAAAGGACGCCUCUGAGUGAUCAGAGGUCGCAGAGAAAAGGCCCUGGCGACUGUUUAACAAAAACACAUGGCUAUGCGAAAUAGAAAUAUGCAGUAUAUAGCCUGACACCUGCCCGGUGCCGGAAGGUUAAGAGGAGAGGUCAUCCUUUUUUGGAGAAGCUUUGAAUUGAAGCCCCGGUAAACGGCGGCCGUAACUAUAACGGUCCUAAGGUAGCGAAAUUCCUUGUCGGGUAAGUUCCGACCUGCACGAAUGGUGUAACGAUCUGGGCACUGUCUCAGCCGCGAGCUCGGUGAAAUUGUAGUAUCGGUGAAGAUGCCGAUUACCCGCAACGGGACGAAAAGACCCCGUGAACCUUUACUAUAGCUUUGCAUUGGAUUUGGGUAACAAAUGUGUAGGAUAGGCCGGAGGCUGAGAAGUGGGCACGCCAGUGCUUGUGGAGCCGCCGUUGAAAUACGGCCCUUUUGUUAUUUGGGUUCUAACUCGCUUGAGCGAGGACAUUGCAUGGUGGGUAGUUUGACUGGGGUGGUCGCCUCCAAAAGCGUAACGGAGGCUUCUAAAGGU